CAGUAGCCGCGGUAACACGUAGGUGGCAAGCGUUGUCCGGAAUUAUUGGGCGUAAAGGGCUCGCAGGCGGUUUCUUAAGUCUGAUGUGGAAGCCCCCGGCUCAACCGGGGAGGGUCAUUGGAAACUGUUAAACUUGAGUGCAGGGGAGAAAAGUGGAAUUCCUAGUGUAGCGGUGAAAUGCGUAGAGAUUAGGAGGAACACCAGUGGCGAAGGCGGCUUUUUGGCCUGUAACUGACACUGAGGCGCGAAAGCGUGGGGAGCAAACAGGAUUAGAUACCCGCGUAGUCCCUGUCUCUUAUAC
This 301-nucleotide ribosomal RNA is filed under the name uncultured bacterium. RNAcentral's name for it is "partial 16S ribosomal RNA". It matches the Rfam family "Bacterial small subunit ribosomal RNA", at positions 509 to 807 of the family's 1533-position model. The record is from RNAcentral.